This is a long non-coding RNA of Oncorhynchus gorbuscha (pink salmon), 474 nucleotides long. RefSeq lists it as uncharacterized. The transcript has 4 exons. NCBI's taxonomy places the organism in Eukaryota, Metazoa, Chordata, Actinopteri, Salmoniformes, Salmonidae. The record is from RefSeq and is a predicted model, not a curated record.
GAGGGAGGUUUUAAAGCAGCGACAGAGUGGCAUCUUUCUGUCUCUCAUUGUCUACAUUGCCCUUCAACUGACAGAGAAGUGACAACAGUCAACACAUUUUGGUAUGUGACCCCAGUGGGAAUCGAACCCAUACCUCUGGCGUUGCUAGUGCCAUGCUCUUAUGAACCGAGCUAUGUACAGGACCACUACACUAGCCAGACAGGAGCCCAUAAACACUACAGAGCUAUUUGGAGCAUCUCCCUCAAUGUCACUCUCCAAGCUCAGAGCUGGGGCUAUCGCUCAUUGGCUCCUCUCAGGACGAAUGGCCUUGCUGACAGCAGAUGGGGCCAUAACUGGUCCUCCCGGUUUUGACCCCUGCCUGACUCUGGACUACUUUCCCGCCUACCUGAUCAUCCUGACUUUGUUUCUGCCUGCCCUUGUUACCUUUUGAACUGGGUUUGAACCUUUUGCCUGUCCACAACCAUUCUCUUGCCU